GACGAACGCUGGCGGCGUGCCUAAUACAUGCAAGUAGAACGAGUUGCGAACGGGUGAGUAACGCGUGGUAACCUGCCUGGUAGCGGGGGAUAACUAUUGGAAACGAUAGCUACUAUCGCAUACCAUCAGAUGUGCCCAGAUGGGAUUCGCUAGUAGGUGGGGUAACGGCGCACCUAGGCGACGAUCCCUAGCUGGUCUGAGAGGAUGACCAGCCACACUGUAACUGAGACACGGUCCAGACGCCUACGGGAGGCAGCAGUGGGGAAUAUUGCACAAUGGGCGCAAGCCUGAUGCAGCCAUGCCGCGUGUAUGAAGAAGGCCUUCGGGUUGUAAAGUACUUUCAGCGGGGAGGCGUUACCCGCAGAAGAAGCACCGGCUAACUCCGUGCCAGCAGCCGCGGUAAUUC
Molecule: ribosomal RNA, 406 nt
Filed under: uncultured bacterium
Lineage: Bacteria
Description: partial 16S ribosomal RNA
Rfam family: Bacterial small subunit ribosomal RNA
Source: RNAcentral